GCGUCGUUUGCGACGCCCAACACACAAAACAAGCGGUGAGUGCUUUGGGGUGGGGUGACUGCGUACCUUUUGUAUAAUGGGUCAGCGACUUAUAUUCUGUAGCAAGGUUAACCGUAUAGGGGAGCCGUAGGGAAACCGAGUCUUAACCGGGCGUUAAGUUGCAGGGUAUAGACCCGAAACCCGGUGAUCUAGCCAUGGGCAGGUUGAAGGUUGGGUAACACUAACUGGAGGACCGAACCGACUAAUGUUGAAAAA
RNAcentral lists this ribosomal RNA (255 nucleotides) under Salmonella enterica. Its description in RNAcentral is "partial 23S ribosomal RNA". The stretch from base 29 to 255 matches the Rfam family "Bacterial large subunit ribosomal RNA", at positions 566 to 796 of the family's 2925-position model. The record is from RNAcentral. Lineage: Bacteria; Pseudomonadati; Pseudomonadota; Gammaproteobacteria; Enterobacterales; Enterobacteriaceae. RNAcentral also lists the same sequence under 1 other name.